GGGAGAGCUACUGGAGAGGCCUGAGCACAGUGCUGGUCUACGCCAAACUCUGGCUGAAGGUACGAGGCACCUGGCCCAAGACAGAGAUGGGUCUACUCCCGCAAGAUUGGUUUCUGGAUGAGAAUUUACUAUUCUUUAUCACCAGUCUCUGUAUGUGCCAGCUUCCCAGAUUUGAAAUUUAGGAAGUAGGUUAAGGAAAAGUCAAAACACUUCACUUCCAAUUGAUAAAGGCAAUUUGGUGAGAAAAAGGCACCUUCGAGCAAAUUCUAUAGAAAUGUGGAUACAUGCACCAAAAUAUUCUUCUCAAGGUACUGUGGCCUUGGGAC
Molecule: long non-coding RNA, 326 nt
Organism: Perognathus longimembris pacificus (Pacific pocket mouse)
Lineage: Eukaryota; Metazoa; Chordata; Mammalia; Rodentia; Heteromyidae
Exons: 3
Source: RefSeq, a predicted model, not a curated record